AGUGAACGCUGGCGGUAGGCCUAACACAUGCAAGUCGAACGGCAGCACAGUAAGAGCUUGCUCUUACGGGUGGCGAGUGGCGGACGGGUGAGGAAUACAUCGGAAUCUACUUUUUCGUGGGGGAUAACGUAGGGAAACAUACGCUAAUACCGCAUACGACCUACGGGUGAAAGCAGGGGAUCUUCGGACCUUGCGCGAUUGAAUAAGCCGAUGUCGGAUUAGCUAGUUGGCGGGGGAAAGGCCCACCAAGGCGACGAUCCGUAGCUGGUCUGAGAGGAUGAUCAGCCACACUGGAACUGAGACACGGUCCAGACUCCUACGGGAGGCAGCAGUGGGGAAUAUUGGACAAUGGGCGCAAGCCUGAUCCAGCAAUACCGCGUGGGUGAAGAAGGCCUUCGGGUUGUAAAGCCCUUUUGUUGGGAAAGAAAAGCAGCAGGUUAAUAACCCGCUGUUCUGACGGUACCCAACGAAUAAGCACCGGCUAACUUCGUG
This 492-nucleotide ribosomal RNA is filed under the name uncultured bacterium. Its description in RNAcentral is "partial 16S ribosomal RNA". It matches the Rfam family "Bacterial small subunit ribosomal RNA", at positions 29 to 507 of the family's 1533-position model. The record is from RNAcentral.